RNAcentral lists this ribosomal RNA (92 nucleotides) under uncultured bacterium. RNAcentral's name for it is "partial 16S ribosomal RNA". The record is from RNAcentral.
CACACCGCCCGUCACACCAUGGGAGUAUGUUGCAGUUGAAACCGCCGGGAGCUUUACGGCAGGCGUCUAGACUGUGGCACAUGACUGGGGUG